UACGGAGGGUGCAAGCGUUAAUCGGAAUUACUGGGCGUAAAGCGCGCGUAGGCGGUCUUGUAAGUCGGAUGUGAAAUCCCCGGGCUCAACCUGGGAACUGCAUUCGAUACUGCUUGACUAGAGUAUGGAAGAGGGAAGGGGAAUUCCGGGUGUAGCGGUGAAAUGCGUAGAUAUCCGGAGGAACACCAGUGGCGAAGGCGCCUUCCUGGGCCAAUACUGACGCUGAGGCGCGAAAGCGUGGGGAGCAAACAGG
This 253-nucleotide ribosomal RNA is filed under the name uncultured bacterium. RNAcentral's name for it is "partial 16S ribosomal RNA". It matches the Rfam family "Bacterial small subunit ribosomal RNA", at positions 524 to 776 of the family's 1533-position model. The record is from RNAcentral.